CACGUAGGGACCAAGCGUUGUCCGGAUUUAUUGGGCGUAAAGAGCUCGUAGGCGGUUCGGUAAGUCGGGUGUGAAAACUCUGGGCUCAACUCAGAGAUGCCACCCGAUACUGCCGUGACUCGAGUCCGGUAGGGGAGCACGGAAUUCCUGGUGUAGCGGUGAAAUGCGCAGAUAUCAGGAGGAACACCGGUGGCGAAGGCGGUGCUCUGGGCCGGUACUGACGCUGAGGAGCGAAAGCGUGGGUAGCAAACA
This 252-nucleotide ribosomal RNA is filed under the name uncultured prokaryote. Its description in RNAcentral is "partial 16S ribosomal RNA". It matches the Rfam family "Bacterial small subunit ribosomal RNA", at positions 524 to 774 of the family's 1533-position model. The record is from RNAcentral.